This 72-nucleotide transfer RNA is filed under the name Chelonia mydas (Green sea turtle). It matches the Rfam family "tRNA". Rfam says of the family: Transfer RNA (tRNA) molecules are approximately 80 nucleotides in length. Their secondary structure includes four short double-helical elements and three loops (D, anti-codon, and T loops). Further hydrogen bonds mediate the characteristic L-shaped molecular structure. tRNAs have two regions of fundamental functional importance: the anti-codon, which is responsible for specific mRNA codon recognition, and the 3' end, to which the tRNAs corresponding amino acid is attached (by aminoacyl-tRNA synthetases). tRNAs cope with the degeneracy of the genetic code in two manners: having more than one tRNA (with a specific anti-codon) for a particular amino acid; and 'wobble' base-pairing, i.e. permitting non-standard base-pairing at the 3rd anti-codon position. The record is from Rfam by way of RNAcentral. Lineage: Eukaryota; Metazoa; Chordata; Testudines; Cheloniidae.
GGCAGUGUUGCUUAGUGGCUAGAGCACCAGCCUGGGAGUCAGGAAACUUGGGUUCUGUUCUCAGCUCUGCCA